This 460-nucleotide ribosomal RNA is filed under the name uncultured bacterium. RNAcentral describes it as "partial 16S ribosomal RNA". It matches the Rfam family "Bacterial small subunit ribosomal RNA", at positions 338 to 795 of the family's 1533-position model. The record is from RNAcentral.
CCUACGGGUGGCUGCAGUGAGGAAUAUUGGUCAAUGGGCGCGAGCCUGAACCAGCCAAGUCGCGUGAGGGAGGACGGCCCUACGGGUUGUAAACCUCUUUUGCCGGGGAGCAACGGGCGUCACGUGUGGCGCCCCUGAGAGUACCCGGAGAAAAAGCAUCGGCUAACUCCGUGCCAGCGGCCGCGGUAAUACGGGGGAUGCGAGCGUUAUCCGGAUUUAUUGGGUUUAAGGGGUGCGUAGGCGGAUGGUUAAGUCAGUGGUAAAAUUGAGGGGCUCAACCCCUUCUCGCCAUUGAAACUGGCGCUCUUGAGUGGAAGAGAAGUAUGCGGAAUGCGUGGUGUAGCGGUGAAAUGCAUAGAUAUCACGCAGAACCCCGAUUGCGAAGGCAGCAUGCCGGCUUCCGACUGACGCUGAAGCACGAAAGCGUGGGGAUCGAACAGGAUUAGAUACCUUAGUAGUC